This 334-nucleotide unclassified non-coding RNA is filed under the name soil metagenome. RNAcentral's name for it is "partial contains 5.8S ribosomal RNA, internal transcribed spacer 2, and large subunit ribosomal RNA". The stretch from base 1 to 120 matches the Rfam family "5.8S ribosomal RNA", at positions 35 to 154 of the family's 154-position model. The record is from RNAcentral.
GAUGAAGAACGCAGCGAAAUGCGAUAAGUAAUGUGGAUUGCAGAAUUCAGUGAAUCAUCGAAUCUUUGAACGCACAUUGCGCCCGCCAGUAUUCUGGCGGGCAUGCCUGUUCGAGCGUCAUUUCAACCAUCAAGCCCUGCUUGCGUUGGGGUCCUGCGGCUGCCCGCAGGCCCUGAAAACCAGUGGCGGGCUCGCUAGUCACACCGAGCGCAGUAAUACAUCUCGCUUUGGGCGUGCGGCGGGUUCUUGCCGUUAAACACCCCCUUUUUACCAAGGUUGACCUCGGAUCAGGUAGGAAUACCCGCUGAACUUAAGCAUAUCAAUAAGCGGAGGA